This 108-nucleotide non-coding RNA is filed under the name Odontocolon sp. PSUC_FEM 10030002. Lineage: Eukaryota; Metazoa; Arthropoda; Insecta; Hymenoptera; Ichneumonidae. The record is from RNAcentral.
UUAUUAGGGGAGGACCGGAAGUCACAUAAGAUCUCUUUCUCCUUGGAGACCGGGCUUUCUAGUGACCGUUGACCCAAACUAACUAAUUUGUGUGCUGGUGUUUAUUUC